This 1290-nucleotide ribosomal RNA is filed under the name Arthrobacter subterraneus. Its description in RNAcentral is "bacterial LSU rRNA". It matches the Rfam family "Bacterial large subunit ribosomal RNA", at positions 1 to 1225 of the family's 2925-position model. Lineage: Bacteria; Bacillati; Actinomycetota; Actinomycetes; Micrococcales; Micrococcaceae. The record is from RNAcentral.
AUCGUCAAGUUUUUAAGGGCACACGGUGGAUGCCUUGGCAUCAGGAGCCGAAGAAGGACGUGGGAAUCUGCGAUAAGCCUGGGGGAGUUGAUAACCGAACUUUGAUCCCAGGAUGUCCGAAUGGGGAAACCCCGCCCAGCGCGCGAGUGACUGGGUGACCCGUAUCUGAACACAUAGGGUGCGUGGGGGGAACGUGGGGAAGUGAAACAUCUCAGUACCCACAGGAAGAGAAAACAAUAGUGAUUCCGUUAGUAGUGGCGAGCGAACGCGGAUGAGGCUAAACCAGUGGUGUGUGAUAGCCGGCGGGCGUUGCAUCACUGGGGUUGCGGGACUUUCCGUAUCAGCUCUGCCGGGCUGGUGAAGUGAGUGCAGGCGUAUAGGUGAACGGGUUUGAAGGCCCGACCGGAGUGGGUGAGAGUCCCGUAGCUGUAAUGCGUGCUGCCGCUUGGAGAGUAUCCCAAGUAGUACGGGGCCCGAGAAAUCCCGUGCGAAUCUGCCAGGACCACCUGGUAAGCCUAAAUACUCCCUGAUGACCGAUAGCGGACAAGUACCGUGAGGGAAAGGUGAAAAGUACCCCGGGAGGGGAGUGAAAUAGUACCUGAAACCGUGUGCCUACAAUCCGUCAGAGCAGGUGGGCUGGUUUUCCAGUUCCACUGGUGAUGGCGUGCCUUUUGAAGAAUGAGCCUGCGAGUUAGUGUUACGUCGCGAGGUUAACCCGUGUGGGGAAGCCGUAGCGAAAGCGAGUCUGAAUAGGGCGAGUGAGUGGCGUGAUCUAGACCCGAAGCGAAGUGAUCUACCCAUGGCCAGGUUGAAGCGACGGUAAGACGUCGUGGAGGACCGAACCCACUUCAGUUGAAAAUGGAGGGGAUGAGCUGUGGGUAGGGGUGAAAGGCCAAUCAAACUUCGUGAUAGCUGGUUCUCCCCGAAAUGCAUUUAGGUGCAGCGUUGCGUGUUUCUUGCCGGAGGUAGAGCUACUGGAUGGCCGAUGGGCCCUACAAGGUUACUGACGUCAGCCAAACUCCGAAUGCCGGUAAGUGAGAGCGCAGCAGUGAGACUGUGGGGGAUAAGCUUCAUAGUCGAGAGGGAAACAGCCCAGACCACCAACUAAGGCCCCUAAGCGUGUGCUAAGUGGGAAAGGAUGUGGAGUUGCUCAGACAACCAGGAGGUUGGCUUAGAAGCAGCCAUCCUUGAAAGAGUGCGUAAUAGCUCACUGGUCAAGUGAUUCCGCGCCGACAAUGUAGCGGGGCUCAAGUACACCGCCGAAGUUGUGGAUUUCAAAUGUUAGCCAAG